CCUACGGGGGGCUGCAGUAAGGAAUAUUGGUCAAUGGAGGAAACUCUGAACCAGCCAUCCCGCGUGAAGGAUGAAGGGGCUCUGCCUUGUAAACUUCUUUUGUCUGGGGCGAAAAAGCUCGAUUUAUCGAGAACUGACGGUACCAGAAGAAUAAGCACCGGCUAACUCCGUGCCAGCAGCCUCGGUAAUACGGAGGGUGCAGGCGUUAUUGGGUGUCAAGGGGUUGAAGGGGGCCUAGUAAGUCUUAGGUGAAAGGCUGUGGCUUAACCAUGGAAUUGCCAUGGAUACUGCAGAGCUUGAAUGAGGUUGAGGUUGGCGGAAUGUGACAUGUAGCGGUGAAAUGCUUAGAUAUGUCAUGGAACACCGAUUGCGAAGGCAGCUGACUGGACCUAUAUUGACGCUGAGGCACGAAAGCGUGGGGAGCGAACAGGAUUAGAUACCCUAGUAGUC
Molecule: ribosomal RNA, 450 nt
Filed under: uncultured bacterium
Lineage: Bacteria
Description: partial 16S ribosomal RNA
Rfam family: Bacterial small subunit ribosomal RNA
Source: RNAcentral